Molecule: ribosomal RNA, 843 nt
Filed under: Dendryphion submersum
Lineage: Eukaryota; Fungi; Ascomycota; Dothideomycetes; Pleosporales; Torulaceae
Description: LSU rRNA
Rfam family: Eukaryotic large subunit ribosomal RNA
Source: RNAcentral
UUUGAAAUCUGGCCCCUUUGGGGUCCGAGUUGUAAUUUGCAGAGGGUGCUUUUGGUGUUGGCCGUGGUCUAAGUUCCUUGGAACAGGACGUCACAGAGGGUGAGAAUCCCGUACGUGGCCGCCGGCCCUCGCCUUGUAAAGCCCCUUCGACGAGUCGAGUUGUUUGGGAAUGCAGCUCUAAAUGGGAGGUAAAUUUCUUCUAAAGCUAAAUACCCGCCAGAGACCGAUAGCGCACAAGUAGAGUGAUCGAAAGAUGAAAAGCACUUUGGAAAGAGAGUGAAAAAGCACGUGAAAUUGUUGAAAGGGAAGCGCUUGCGGCCAGACGUGCCCGCGGUUGUUCAUCUGGGCUCUCGCCCGGUGCACUCCUCCGCGGGCAGGCCAGCAUCAGUUUGGGCGGUCGGACAAAGGUCUCUAUCACGUACCACCCCUCGGGGUGGCCUUAUAGGGGAGACGCAACACGGCCAGCCUGGACUGAGGUUCCGCGCAUCUGCUAGGAUGCUGGCGUAAUGGCAGCAAGCGGCCCGUCUUGAAACACGGACCAAGGAGUCUAACAUCUAUGCGAGUGUUUGGGUGUCAAGCCCGAGCGCGUAAUGAAAGUGAACGGAGGUGGGAACCCCUCGGGGCGCACCAUCGACCGAUCCUGAUGUCUUCGGAUGGAUUUGAGUAAGAGCAUAGCUGUUGGGACCCGAAAGAUGGUGAACUAUGCCUGAAUAGGGUGAAGCCAGAGGAAACUCUGGUGGAGGCUCGCAGCGGUUCUGACGUGCAAAUCGAUCGUCAAAUUUGGGCAUAGGGGCGAAAGACUAAUCGAACCAUCUAGUAGCUGGUUCCUGCCGAAGUUCCCUC